UACACCGAGUCACCGACAAUGUUUUUGUGUGUGUGGGAAUAACUUUAGAAUGAUCGAGAGAUAGCGAGAGAGAAAAAGAGAGGGCGAGACGGAGAGCUUCAGUUUGAGAGAGAAAUAGCACGAGAGAAAGAGAGAGAGCGAGACAGAGAGCUUCAGGCCGCGUUCUAUCUAUCUAGGGAUAGAGAGAGAGUUUGAGACUGAAGAAGAGGGAGACGGGAAGAAGUUGAUGGUCGAUUCGAACAGAAAUUGAGUGAACUGAUCAUCCCAGACUAUCAACUCAGCCACGAUCGAGAGAGAAAGAGAUUGGGUGUGUUUCCCGCGGUUCUGGAAAAGAAAGGAUGAGAGGAGAAAUUUAAUCCCAAGGUUAACUCUUUCUAAGGUGUCAGAUUCUUGAAGUAUCAAAUGAUGAAGAGGUUUUUUUUUCCUUUUUUUUAAAGAGGAUCAACAAAUGAUGAAGAGGUUGCCUCACUCUCCGAGAUGUUUACAUCAAAAGUGAAAAGCAAGCGCUAAUGAGUUGUUUUGGCGUUAGCAUGAAUAUGAUUUUCUCCUUUUGCUUAACAGCUUUUGUGCAUAUAUACCUAGAACAACUAUUUUUUAGAAGAUGCUCUUAUGGCUACUGUAACUAAGAUAAGCUAAGAUAGCCAAUUUGUUGGCAGCUGCCAUAGAUAUUGAAAAGUGAUCAUAUUGUACUGUUUUGUCGUUUAUAUUCUGUUUUUUAUGUUUAG
Rosa chinensis is the source of this 725-nucleotide long non-coding RNA. RefSeq lists it as uncharacterized. The record is from RefSeq and is a predicted model, not a curated record. NCBI's taxonomy places the organism in Eukaryota, Viridiplantae, Streptophyta, Magnoliopsida, Rosales, Rosaceae. The transcript has 3 exons.